RNAcentral lists this long non-coding RNA (357 nucleotides) under Trifolium pratense (red clover). RNAcentral's name for it is "long non-coding RNA (TPRA_LNC004456)". The record is from RNAcentral. Lineage: Eukaryota; Viridiplantae; Streptophyta; Magnoliopsida; Fabales; Fabaceae.
CUGGAAAAGGGUUCGAAACUUUGGAGUUGAAACAUGAUUUUAAGAGUUCUUGUGCAUCAAUUGGAGUGAGAUCCUGCGUUCCAGUGGCUAGAUUCAAGGAGUUCAACAACAUGGGAGCAAAUCUUGUGGAGUUGGAGCUUGGAUCCUUGCUUGUCACCAUGAGGAAAUAAAUCCUCAUAGAGGUUGGAUCUAGAAUAUGAACUAAACUGAUGUAAUCUCAUGUAAUUCCUCAUAUUUGUAUUGAAUCUCUCUUGUAUAAGUGUUAUUCAAUGAAUUUCAGUUCUUAAUGCUUUACAAUUUCUGAUCAACUUUGCAAUGAUUUUAGAUUUUGAUUAUGUAUGAGAAUAUGAGUUAAAA